Molecule: ribosomal RNA, 464 nt
Filed under: Vreelandella stevensii
Lineage: Bacteria; Pseudomonadati; Pseudomonadota; Gammaproteobacteria; Oceanospirillales; Halomonadaceae
Description: partial 16S ribosomal RNA
Rfam family: Bacterial small subunit ribosomal RNA
Source: RNAcentral
CCUACGGGAGGCAGCAGUGGGGAAUAUUGGACAAUGGGGGGAACCCUGAUCCAGCCAUGCCGCGUGUGUGAAGAAGGCCCUCGGGUUGUAAAGCACUUUCAGUGAGGAAGAACGCCUGGUGGUUAAUACCCAUCAGGAAAGACAUCACUCACAGAAGAAGCACCGGCUAACUCCGUGCCAGCAGCCGCGGUAAUACGGAGGGUGCGAGCGUUAAUCGGAAUUACUGGGCGUAAAGCGCGCGUAGGUGGCUUGAUAAGCCGGUUGUGAAAGCCCCGGGCUCAACCUGGGAACGGCAUCCGGAACUGUCAAGCUAGAGUGCAGGAGAGGAAGGUAGAAUUCCCGGUGUAGCGGUGAAAUGCGUAGAGAUCGGGAGGAAUACCAGUGGCGAAGGCGGCCUUCUGGACUGACACUGACACUGAGGUGCGAAAGCGUGGGUAGCAAACAGGAUUAGAUACCCAGUAGUC